RNAcentral lists this long non-coding RNA (1549 nucleotides) under Homo sapiens (human). Its description in RNAcentral is "HSALNT0146778". The record is from RNAcentral. Lineage: Eukaryota; Metazoa; Chordata; Mammalia; Primates; Hominidae.
GAGGUGGAGUCUCAAGUCUCGCUCUGUCACCCAGGUGGAGUGCAGUGGCAUGAUCUUGGCUCACUGCAAGCUCCGCCUCCCAGGUUCACGCCAUUCUUCUGCCUCAGCCUCCUGAGUAGCUGGGACUACAGGCGCCUGCCACCACGCCCAGCUAUUUUUUUGUAUUUUUAGUAGAGACAGGGUUUCACCAUGUUAGCCAGGAUGGUCUUGAUCUCCUGACCUCGUGAUCCACCCGCCUCGGCCUCCCAAAGUGGUGGGAUUACAGUCGCUUUGUUUUUUAAACCCUCAGUUAUUCAGCUUGUUUGUCCUAUCAAAAUUAGUGUGUUUCAUGAGAUAAUUGCUCAAUUCUCCAUUUCUUUUUGGUACAAGUAGUCUCCAUAGAAAUCAUGAGGUGAUAAGGUAAACACUUGGUGUUGCUGCUGCUGAUUAUUUUUAUUAGUUUGAAUGUUUUAUAAAAAGCCAUUUUCCACAAGGGAUUGGAGGUAUCCUUGCUUAUAGAAAUUCCAAAAGGAAGAUGCCUUUCAAAAAAGUCUUGAAGAGUAAAAUGUAUUCCUAAAGAUGAUUAUAGCAUUUUAUUUAAACAUUUCCAUAAAACACCCCCCAUGCCCACCCCCAGUGUUCCCUAGGCACAGUAACCUUGGAAGUUGGAAGAAUCAAAGCUGGUCCAUUCCAUUCAGAGAGGAGGCCAUCUCAAAGCAGCCAGGUGAGUGAAGGCAGCCUGUCAUCUUUCACUUUUCCACUCUCUGGAUCCAGUACAUCUGAGUCACUGGAAAGUAGCUCAAAGAAGAAUGCAUGUAAGAUUGGUUCAGUAUUUUAAACAUGGUUUGAAUUUGGCUGUCAACACUGAUUUUUUUGUCUUGUUUACCUCUGAGCUUUCUUUUCCCCCAAAUCAUCCCAUAUCCAAAUAUAGGUACAAAAACACGUGUUAGCAAAAAGUCUGAACAACAUGAAGUUCUGCCUAUGGCAGCUUUUCCCAUUUGAUGUUUACCCUACAAGAUACACUAAACAUUAUAAUCAGGAUUCUGUAAUUUUUUUUUCUUACUAAGCAGAUUGGUGUUUUUGAUUUUAUUCCUUUUCUGUGUUUAAUGUAACACCAGUAAAUCAGAAGAUGCCAUUAAGUGAAGCCUUCUUUUUCCAUGAAGAUUGCAAAAAUUUGAGAAAAUUAAUGUGAUCCUCCUGUGUUUUAAUUACGUGAAAUCAUGCUGCAGAGGGAUUUUUGGCUUGGUGCAUUGGUUGAGAGUUGUUCAAAUUGAAGAAACUAACAAUAUGGCAAUCUCUGUUUGCAGUAUGACUAAUAUUCUAGAAAUUUAGGCACUUAAAUUUGUGAAUUUUUUUAAUGCAUCCAUGACUUUAUUCCUCUCAGCCGUGCACAUGUGCCUUUCUAUGCAAAACACAUUCUGCCCUUGACUCAUUCAAAGUGGAUUACAUAGUUAUAUAAUCAACACUUAAAAUGAGAAGGAAGAAUGGGAUGGUAUACACGUUUUUCCAACUGGAAAAAUAAAUAGUUCUGUGUAAGACAGAUCUAAUCAUGUGUACUAGCAGCUUUGAG